GAAUUUUAUAUAGUUAUUAAAAUUAAUUUUAUUGAAUAAAAUAAUUUUAAUUUAUAUUUGAUUGGGAGGAUUAUUAAAUUUUUAAAACUUUAAUUUGAAAAAUUACAUAAAUUAAUGAAUAUAUAAAAAAUUAAUUAAAGUAAAUUUAUAUAAAAAAAUUAAUUACCUUAGGGAUAACAGCGUGAUAUUUUUAGAGAGAUCUUAUUGAUAAAAAUGUUUGC
This 221-nucleotide ribosomal RNA is filed under the name Gnamptogenys tortuolosa. RNAcentral describes it as "partial large subunit ribosomal RNA". The record is from RNAcentral. Lineage: Eukaryota; Metazoa; Arthropoda; Insecta; Hymenoptera; Formicidae.